This is a long non-coding RNA of Pongo pygmaeus (Bornean orangutan), 753 nucleotides long. RefSeq lists it as uncharacterized. The record is from RefSeq and is a predicted model, not a curated record. NCBI's taxonomy places the organism in Eukaryota, Metazoa, Chordata, Mammalia, Primates, Hominidae. The transcript has 3 exons.
AACAGUGGAGGUUGUAAUCACAUCAUUUCCGGCCGCAUUAAUCAUGACCAAAUGAAGAACAGCAAACAUUUUUAUAAAGUCAUAAGAGCCAAAGUCUCUUUUUCAGACCAUUUAAGAAUUAUUACCAAGUUUGUUCUAUAUUAUACAGAUGGAAACAUGUAUUUAAGCCUGAAAGCUUCACAACUGAUGGAUGCCGGGUCUUCUGGCUCCACCAUCCACGCCUCCCACUGCUCUGCUCUACUGGAAGUCCUGCCCUCAUCCUUUGAGAAGUAAUCUGCUACAAAGAGACAGGGACAGGCAGUAGAUCUUCAUCUGAGGGCAUCAAGAACCCUGGACCUUUAGAGUUAGAAAGAACUUGCUAGUUUCUCGUCUUACUCAUCUCACUUCACAGAUGGAAACGGCUUCUUUCUGAGAAUAUCCUGCGACUUCAGAAUGAUUACUGUCAUAAAGCACGCAGCCACAGAGGCUGGACAGAGAUCUUCAGCCUUGUGAUGAAGGGAAACUGAAGGGCGCUCCCGAAAGGAUUCUUCUCCUUAACCUAAUUUACAUUCAUCUCCUCAUAAAGACGAUGAAGCAAGACUGAAUUUUAUUUAAUUUUCAUGCCUUGAAAUUAAAUCUCCAUUCCACUCCCUCCGUUUGUCCUGUUUCAUCUUUUGUGUGCUGUACAGCCCUGUUUCUACAGAGACCAUGAGUCAUCCCAGUGGGCGAGGGUCUGUUUCAUCAAGGCCUUAAGGCUGGAGCCGGGCAAGGUAG